This 85-nucleotide transfer RNA is filed under the name Escherichia coli. RNAcentral describes it as "tRNA-Tyr(gta)". It matches the Rfam family "tRNA". From Rfam's summary of the family: Transfer RNA (tRNA) molecules are approximately 80 nucleotides in length. Their secondary structure includes four short double-helical elements and three loops (D, anti-codon, and T loops). The record is from RNAcentral. RNAcentral also lists the same sequence under 11 other names. Lineage: Bacteria; Pseudomonadati; Pseudomonadota; Gammaproteobacteria; Enterobacterales; Enterobacteriaceae.
GGUGGGGUUCCCGAGCGGCCAAAGGAAGCAGACUGUAAAUCUGCCGUCAUCGACUUCGAAGGUUCGAAUCCUUCCCCCACCACCA